UACAGAGGGUGCGAGCGUUAAUCGGAAUUACUGGGCGUAGAGCGCGCGUAGGCGGCUUUGCAAGUCGAGUGUGAAAUCCCCAGGCUUAACCUGGGAACUGCAUUCGAGACUGCAUAGCUAGAGUAUGGGAGAGGGAAGUGGAAUUUCAGGUGUAGCGGUGAAAUGCGUAGAUAUCUGAAGGAGCAUCAGUGGCGAAAGCGACUUCCUGGACCAAUACUGACGCUCAUGUGCGAAAGCGUGGGGAGCAAACAGG
This 253-nucleotide ribosomal RNA is filed under the name uncultured bacterium. RNAcentral describes it as "partial 16S ribosomal RNA". It matches the Rfam family "Bacterial small subunit ribosomal RNA", at positions 524 to 776 of the family's 1533-position model. The record is from RNAcentral.